UACGGAGGGUGCAAGCGUUGUUCGGAAUUACUGGGCGUAAAGGGUUCGUAGGUGGCUUACUAAGUCAGACGUGAAAUCCCUCAGCUUAACUGGGGAACUGCGUCUGAUACUGGAAAGCUUGAGUGCAGGAGAGGAACGCGGAAUUCCAGGUGUAGCGGUGAAAUGCGUAGAUAUCUGGAGGAACACCGGUGGCGAAGGCGGCGUUCUGGACUGCAACUGACACUGAGGAACGAAAGCCAGGGGAGCAAACGGG
This 253-nucleotide ribosomal RNA is filed under the name uncultured bacterium. Its description in RNAcentral is "partial 16S ribosomal RNA". It matches the Rfam family "Bacterial small subunit ribosomal RNA", at positions 524 to 776 of the family's 1533-position model. The record is from RNAcentral.